AACGAACGCUGGCGGCAUGCCUAACGCAUGCAAGUCGAACGAGACCUUCGGGUCUAGUGGCGCACGGGUGCGUAACGCGUGGGAAUCUGCCCUUGGGUUCGGAAUAACAGUUGGAAACGACUGCUAAUACCGGAUGAUGACGUAAGUCCAAAGAUUUAUCGCCCAGGGAUGAGCCCGCGUAGGAUUAGCUAGUUGGUGGGGUAAAGGCCUACCAAGGCGACGAUCCUUAGCUGGUCUGAGAGGAUGAUCAGCCACACUGGGACUGAGACACGGCCCAGACUCCUACGGGAGGCAGCAGUGGGGAAUAUUGGACAAUGGGCGAAAGCCUGAUCCAGCAAUGCCGCGUGAGUGAUGAAGGCCUUAGGGUUGUAAAGCUCUUUUACCCGGGAUGAUAAUGACAGUACCGGGAGAAUAAGCCCCGGCUAACUCCGUG
This 433-nucleotide ribosomal RNA is filed under the name uncultured bacterium. RNAcentral's name for it is "partial 16S ribosomal RNA". It matches the Rfam family "Bacterial small subunit ribosomal RNA", at positions 29 to 507 of the family's 1533-position model. The record is from RNAcentral.